RNAcentral lists this ribosomal RNA (315 nucleotides) under Triticum aestivum (bread wheat). Its description in RNAcentral is "partial small subunit ribosomal RNA". Lineage: Eukaryota; Viridiplantae; Streptophyta; Magnoliopsida; Poales; Poaceae. The record is from RNAcentral.
AUGGAAGAAGAAAUUGAUGAAACUGUGAGCUCAUUGGAUGAAAAAGAUGAUGAGGAGAGUGAAGAACAAAAGGAGGAAGAGCGGAUUAGCUACUCGUGCCCACCUUCUAAUGAGAGUAACCCUCCUCAUACAUUAUUUAAUGUCCCUUCAUGCUUACCAAAGGAUGAUUGCUAUGAUAAUUGCUAUGGUCCCGUUGAUUCUUUUGAAAUAUCCCUUUUUGAUGAACUUGAUGCUUGCUAUGCUUGUGGCCAAGAUACCAAUAUGAAUGUUUCUUAUGGAGAUGAACUUGCUAUUGUUCCUUAUGUUAAGAAUUAA